GGCCUCGUAGCUCAGCUGGUAGAGCAUGCGCGUACAAAGCGUAGGUGGCGUCCAUGCGUGGGUUCGAAUCCCACCGAGGCUA
Molecule: non-coding RNA, 82 nt
Organism: Echinostoma caproni
Lineage: Eukaryota; Metazoa; Platyhelminthes; Trematoda; Plagiorchiida; Echinostomatidae
Source: Rfam